This 52-nucleotide small RNA is filed under the name Sinorhizobium meliloti 2011. RNAcentral's name for it is "putative ncRNA". Lineage: Bacteria; Pseudomonadati; Pseudomonadota; Alphaproteobacteria; Hyphomicrobiales; Rhizobiaceae. The record is from RNAcentral.
AUGCCGCGCACGAGGCCUUCGCUCGCGCGAUAAGUGAGGGCGAAGGCAAGGA